Molecule: long non-coding RNA, 501 nt
Organism: Rhagoletis pomonella (apple maggot)
Lineage: Eukaryota; Metazoa; Arthropoda; Insecta; Diptera; Tephritidae
Exons: 3
Source: RefSeq, a predicted model, not a curated record
AACACUGCCGAUAUUUUCAUCGAUUGUUACGUGGAAAUUGAUUUUCUUAUUGCGCAAAUUCAAAUUAUCGCAGUUAUUCGAAAAAUUUGUAUUCACAAAGUAGCGUUUUACAACAAGUGCAGCCGUUGCAAGUCAGGAUCAUCGUGUGUCCGUCCACGUUCGCUAGUGCAGGGAUUUUUACCACUGCAGCCUUUGGUGGGUGUGGUCAAGUGCAGCCUUUGCAUACUUCCAGCAUAGUACAACUUUUUCCUCACCGCAAGCUCAACAUCAUCGUACCGCAAGUGCAGGUGCAGCCCACCAUGGAUAUUAGUUGCGUUCGCGUAGCUGUUAAUUGUUCACGUAUAACCAAAACUUACAAGUUUUUGCGUUCGCGUACGCAAAAAACUUGCAAAGUAGGGGAAAUUGAGAGAGCAAAGAGACAUUUAAUUUUGAGGGGAAGCUGCUGGUUUCUUUUGGAAAAAUUUUUGCCAACAGCAAUUUGCCAACAGGAAAACAGCUGAU